RNAcentral lists this ribosomal RNA (500 nucleotides) under uncultured bacterium. RNAcentral describes it as "bacterial SSU rRNA". It matches the Rfam family "Bacterial small subunit ribosomal RNA", at positions 28 to 526 of the family's 1533-position model. The record is from RNAcentral.
GAUGAACGCUAGCGGGAGGCCUAAUACAUGCAAGUCGAACGGUAACAGGUAGCAAUACGCUGACGAGUGGCGCACGGGUGCGUAACGCGUACACAAUCUGCCUUAUACUGGGGCAUAGCCUUUGGAAACGAAGAAUAAUUCCCCAUAACAUAUAGAAGAGGCAUCUCUUUUAUAUUAAAGCUCAGGCGGUAUAAGAUGAGUGUGCGUCCGAUUAGGUAGUUGGUGAGGUAACGGCUCACCAAGCCAACGAUCGGUAGCUGGUCUGAGAGGAUGAUCAGCCACACGGGCACUGAGACACGGGCCCGACUCCUACGGGAGGCAGCAGUAGGGAAUAUUGGACAAUGGGCGCAAGCCUGAUCCAGCCAUCCCGCGUGAAGGAUGAAGGUCCUCUGGAUUGUAAACUUCUUUUCUUCGGGAAUAAAAACUAGGGGUUCUCCUCAGCUUGAAGGUACCGAAGGAAUAAGCACCGGCUAACUCCGUGCCAGCAGCCGCGGUAAAGU